RNAcentral lists this ribosomal RNA (304 nucleotides) under uncultured bacterium. RNAcentral's name for it is "partial 16S ribosomal RNA". It matches the Rfam family "Bacterial small subunit ribosomal RNA", at positions 506 to 808 of the family's 1533-position model. The record is from RNAcentral.
CAGCAGCCGCCGCGGGAAUACAGAGGGUGCGAGCGUUAAUCGGAUUUACUGGGCGUAAAGCGUGCGUAGGCGGCUUUUUAAGUCGGAUGUGAAAUCCCUGAGCUUAACUUAGGAAUUGCAUUCGAUACUGGGAAGCUAGAGUAUGGGAGAGGAUGGUAGAAUUCCAGGUGUAGCGGUGAAAUGCGUAGAGAUCUGGAGGAAUACCGAUGGCGAAGGCAGCCAUCUGGCCUAAUACUGACGCUGAGGUACGAAAGCAUGGGGAGCAAACAGGAUUAGAUACCCCGGUAGUCCCUGUCUCUUUACA